AUUGAACGCUGGCGGAAUGCUUUACACAUGCAAGUCGAGCGAUGAAGCACCUUCGGGUGUGAAUUAGCGGCGAACGGGUGAGGAACACGUGAAGAAUCUGCCUUCAACUCUGGGAUAACUCCGGGAAACCGGGGCUAAUACCGGAUAUGAGCCUUGAUCGCAUGAUCGGGGCUGGAAAGUUUUUCGGUUGAAGAUGACUUCGCGGCCUAUCAGCUUGUUGGUGAGGUAAUGGCUCACCAAGGCGACGACGGGUAGCCGGCCUGAGAGGGCGACCGGCCACACUGGGACUGAGACACGGCCCAGACUCCUACGGGAGGCAGCAGUGGGGAAUAUUGGGCAAUGGAGGAAACUCUGACCCAGCGACGCCGCGUGAGGGAUGAAGGCCUUCGGGUUGUAAACCUCUUUCAGUAGGGAAGAAGCGAAAGUGACGGUACCUACAGAAGAAGCACCGGCUAACUAUGUGCCAGCAGCCGCCGUAA
This 479-nucleotide ribosomal RNA is filed under the name uncultured bacterium. Its description in RNAcentral is "partial 16S ribosomal RNA". It matches the Rfam family "Bacterial small subunit ribosomal RNA", at positions 30 to 523 of the family's 1533-position model. The record is from RNAcentral.